This 225-nucleotide long non-coding RNA is filed under the name Carica papaya (papaya). Its description in RNAcentral is "long non-coding RNA (CPAP_LNC001330)". The record is from RNAcentral. Lineage: Eukaryota; Viridiplantae; Streptophyta; Magnoliopsida; Brassicales; Caricaceae.
UUAUUCCACUGCAUGUAACUAUUUUGAUGCACUUGUAACCUAUUUCUAUAUCUGGCUCUCUUAUGCUAUCUUUUAGUAUUUGGGAUGUCACACAAUGACUCAAAUAGUGUCACGAUAUGAAAUCAUUCUUAUGGGACUCAAACUAGUUGCAAAGUCCAUGGUCCUGCUCCCAUUUCCAUUCAGAGAUAGGAAGAGCUUGCAAAAGACCACCAGUGUGGCAUCCAA